Molecule: microRNA precursor, 97 nt
Filed under: Nicotiana sylvestris (wood tobacco)
Lineage: Eukaryota; Viridiplantae; Streptophyta; Magnoliopsida; Solanales; Solanaceae
Also listed under: 1 other name
Description: MIR6152 microRNA precursor family
Rfam family: MIR6152 microRNA precursor family
Source: Rfam by way of RNAcentral
UGGACAGAUUAUUGUAUUCGACUGUAUUUACGGCGUGAAAUAGGGGAUUACACUAUUUUUAAAACGAAAAGUGAAUCAAUUAACAUAAUAGACUCCU